Molecule: non-coding RNA, 94 nt
Organism: Xenopus tropicalis (tropical clawed frog)
Lineage: Eukaryota; Metazoa; Chordata; Amphibia; Anura; Pipidae
Gene: mir140
Product: microRNA mir-140
Exons: 1
Source: RefSeq, marked provisional
CCCUCUCUGUGUCCUCCCAGUGGUUUUACCCUAUGGUAGGUUACGUCAGGCUGUUCUACCACAGGGUAGAACCACGGACAGGAUACGGGGAGCU